GAAAUGCGAUAAGUAAUGUGAAUUGCAGAAUUCAGUGAAUCAUCGAAUCUUUGAACGCACAUUGCGCCCGCCAGUAUUCUGGCGGGCAUGCCUGUUCGAGCGUCAUUUCAACCAUCAAGCCCCCGGCUUGUGUUGGGGACCUGCGGCUGCCCGCAGGCCCUGAAAAACAGUGGCGGGCUCGCUGUCACACCGAGCGUAGUAGCAUACAUUCUCUCAGGGCGUGCUGCGGGUUCCGGCCGUUAAACGACCUUCAUAACCCAAGGUUGACCUCGGAUCAGGUAGGAAGACCCGCUGAACUUAAGC
RNAcentral lists this unclassified non-coding RNA (303 nucleotides) under plant metagenome. Its description in RNAcentral is "partial contains 5.8S ribosomal RNA, internal transcribed spacer 2, and large subunit ribosomal RNA". The stretch from base 1 to 105 matches the Rfam family "5.8S ribosomal RNA", at positions 50 to 154 of the family's 154-position model. The record is from RNAcentral.